This 465-nucleotide ribosomal RNA is filed under the name Vreelandella stevensii. RNAcentral describes it as "partial 16S ribosomal RNA". It matches the Rfam family "Bacterial small subunit ribosomal RNA", at positions 338 to 795 of the family's 1533-position model. Lineage: Bacteria; Pseudomonadati; Pseudomonadota; Gammaproteobacteria; Oceanospirillales; Halomonadaceae. The record is from RNAcentral.
CCUACGGGGGGCAGCAGUGGGGAAUAUUGGACAAUGGGGGCAACCCUGAUCCAGCCAUGCCGCGUGUGUGAAGAAGGCCCUCGGGUUGUAAAGCACUUUCAGUGAGGAAGAACGCCUGGUGGUUAAUACCCAUCAGGAAAGACAUCACUCACAGAAGAAGCACCGGCUAACUCCGUGCCAGCAGCCGCGGUAAUACGGAGGGUGCGAGCGUUAAUCGGAAUUACUGGGCGUAAAGCGCGCGUAGGUGGCUUGAUAAGCCGGUUGUGAAAGCCCCGGGCGCAACCUGGGAACGGCAUCCGGAACUGUCAAGCUAGAGUGCAGGAGAGGAAGGUAGAAUUCCCGGUGUAGCGGUGAAAUGCGUAGAGAUCGGGAGGAAUACCAGUGGCGAAGGCGGCCUUCUGGACUGACACUGACACUGAGGUGCGAAAGCGUGGGUAGCAAACAGGAUUAGAUACCCGUGUAGUC